GCUUGCAACAUUACAAGCCCAAAAGACGACUAUGAUAUAAGUGUUCAAGUCGGAUCAAACUUUACUAUCAACAUUGCAUAUACAUGCGCACCACUUGAGGAAAUGGAAAGUAUGGAUUGGUAUUUUUCAAUUUAUCCUAAUGGAUAUAAAGAUAAAGUUGAACUUGCUGGGUUGCAUAAAUUGUACCAAAUGGUAUAUGAUCAUUCCAUGGAUUUCGUUGCUACUGGUUCGUUCGGGAAUAGUGGCAGGUUUACAUUUAGUGUAUAUAACGCUACGCUAACUUCCAAUGGCACAUUUUUUGCUCUGUUGUACAAAAAAUCAGACGUUGGACAACCUCCUACACAGAUUCUGAGAGUAGUUGUCAUUAUCAAAGAAACCGCUCUGCAACCGACCGAGAAAUUUAUUCCUCAAACAACGAGGGGUAUUAUAACGUCAAUUUCAAAACGUACUGAACCUACCACAAAAAUCAUAAGAAUAAAUCAAUCUACAACGAUAGUAAAUCAACCUACAACAAAAGUAAAUCAACCUACAACGAAAGUAAAUCAACCU
Molecule: long non-coding RNA, 549 nt
Filed under: Dendronephthya gigantea
Lineage: Eukaryota; Metazoa; Cnidaria; Anthozoa; Malacalcyonacea; Nephtheidae
Description: uncharacterized LOC114543935
Source: RNAcentral